CCUACGUGUGGCAGCAGUGAGGAAUAUUGGUCAAUGGGCGCGAGCCUGAACCAGCCAAGUCGCGUGAGGGAAGACGGUCCUAUGGAUUGUAAACCUCUUUUGUCGGGGAGCAAAAGACGCCACGCGUGGCGUUCCGAGAGUACCCGAAGAAAAAGCAUCGGCUAACUCCGUUCCAGCAGCCGCGGUAAUACGGAGGAUGCGAGCGUUAUCCGGCUUUCUUGGGUUUAAGGGGUGCGCAGGCGGAAGAGCAAUGCAGCGGUAAAAGUGAGAGGCUCAACCUCUUCGAGCCGUUGAAACUGGUUUUCUUGAGUGAGUGAGAAGUAUGCGGAAUGCGUGGUGUAGCGGUGAAAUGCAUAGAUAUCACGCAGAACUCCGAUUGCGAAGGCAGCAUACCGGCGCUCAACUGACGCUCAUGCACGAAAGUGUGGGUAUCGAACAGGAUUAGAUACCCGGGUAGUC
Molecule: ribosomal RNA, 459 nt
Filed under: uncultured bacterium
Lineage: Bacteria
Description: partial 16S ribosomal RNA
Rfam family: Bacterial small subunit ribosomal RNA
Source: RNAcentral